UGAAAAAUUCACAGUCACUGUGGGCUCUGUGGGUAAUAUCCAUUAUAGAAUUCGGUGGUAAUAUCCAAGUAAUAUCAGUCGGAACGAUACGAUCAUACCAAUACAGGUCUUUUGUUUGCUUGGAAUUUGUUUGCUGUUGGAGCGAAACAUCUGUACAGCAAGGCCAUACAAGAGGUUUAUAUAGCCUUGAUACAAGAUUUGUUCUGGGCAGUUAUGAAGGAGCAGUUACUGACCAUCGCCUCUAUAGUUGCAUCACUGGCAGUUGUUUUGGCAUUUGUUGCCCUUGGCUGGUACAUUGUCUGGAAGUGUUUCCUGUCUCGGUUCAAGUUUGUGCGGGAGAUGCUGGAUGCCGGACGUGAGCCCUCCCCAGAAGCGGCGGAGCUGCGGCGUGUCAGACAAAGGACCAGCAGGAGAGUGCGGCGCGAGUGACUGGUCAAGACUGGGCCUCGGGCUGACCUGGGGUCGCCACCACACACCGGGCACGGAACUGGAUCCCCCCAGUGGAUCAUACUGCCACAGCACUGUGUGGGAUCCAGCCACCAGUCGAACGGUGUCUGGAGUAUCGAUGGACAAAUUUGGCACUGCUUGGGUACAGAGAUGAAGAUUUCCACCCAAUGCUGCCGGUGGAUGAGUACCAUAUUCGGCCACUGUUCUGUAGCAAUGAUGUAAUUUAGCGGUGGGGAAAGAGGGCAACCGUAGCAUGAAGCUCCUCUUUAGGUAGCUACACGCCAAAGUAGACAAAUGGAUCUUGCUGGAUAGUGAACUGUAUUGGGCUUGAAGGUACUGCAGUGCUGCUUCAAUAGGAUUGAGCACUUACCAAAUGUUUCUGCGUGAUCGUGGCCAAGGAAAAUGUCGCUUUUCCGAUGUCGAUUUUUUUUCCAUUGUCGCAGUGCUUUGUUUACAUCAUCGAAUCUAAUGAACUCCUGCCGGUCAUUUAUUCAAUUCUGAGCGCCACGCAUAAUAAUGUGCAUUCUGUCUGUUACUGCUGCUCUUGAUUAUGUGCAUCUCCCGACUGACCCGGUGAGGCUUGGUGUAUCUCGAACGAGUCUAGGGAUUUUCCAGAUUCACUCAAUUUCCAGAUUGUGCAUGUUUUCCGUCGUGUUUGUGUCCUCUGGAAGGGGUUUCAGCCGUGGACUGUUUGGUAUGUGCGAUACGUUACGCGGAUUCUAGUGUGGGGACUGGGCUACUCAGCGGUAUCGGUGUUACUGUUCCAGUGUGGUGGCUGUGCCGGCUUAUUGCUUCCCCACCGGUUGGUCUCGUGAGGGCGGGGAAUGAUGGCCUGCAAUGUCGUAUCCGGUUUGACUUGUGUGUGCGGUAAAUGGAAUGUGCCAGUGUAUAUUUUUAUGGUGAUAAAUGGGCGAUUUCGUA
Amphibalanus amphitrite is the source of this 1368-nucleotide long non-coding RNA. RefSeq lists it as uncharacterized. Lineage: Eukaryota; Metazoa; Arthropoda; Thecostraca; Balanomorpha; Balanidae. The transcript has 3 exons. The record is from RefSeq and is a predicted model, not a curated record.